UACGUAGGUGGCAAGCGUUGUCCGGAUUUACUGGGCGUAAAGGGCGUGCAGGCGGUCUGUUAAGUCUAGGGUGAAAGCUCCCGGCUCAACUGGGAGAGGUCCUUGGAUACUGGCGGACUUGGGGGAGACAGAGGAGAGUGGAAUUCCCGGUGUAGUGGUGAUAUGCGUAGAUAUCGGGAGGAACACCAGUGGCGAAGGCGGCUCCCUGGGUCUUACCUGACGCUGAGACGCGAAAGCGUGGGGAGCGAACCGG
This 253-nucleotide ribosomal RNA is filed under the name uncultured bacterium. RNAcentral's name for it is "partial 16S ribosomal RNA". It matches the Rfam family "Bacterial small subunit ribosomal RNA", at positions 524 to 776 of the family's 1533-position model. The record is from RNAcentral.